Long non-coding RNA from Penaeus monodon (black tiger shrimp), 267 nucleotides. RefSeq lists it as uncharacterized. The transcript is spliced from 3 exons. Lineage: Eukaryota; Metazoa; Arthropoda; Malacostraca; Decapoda; Penaeidae. The record is from RefSeq and is a predicted model, not a curated record.
UAUUUUUGUGAUUUUUGAAUAGAUAUACGCUCCAUAUUUCCGUGUGGGAAGUGUGCUAUGGUUAAAGUAGUCUCGAUUGUUGCAGCGUCAGUUGCACGGUGAAAUCUUCGAGAUUUGUCAACUGUCUAGGGAUACAAGUGCCGACCUUACCACGACGGGUGCUUGACACGAACUCUGUGGUCAAGCGAGGUGUUGCUUGUGGCGUGUACUUAUGGCGAGUUCUUGUGAAGCACGAUAUAUGCAACAGGGAAAAUACCGUUCAGGCAA